Molecule: ribosomal RNA, 520 nt
Filed under: uncultured bacterium
Lineage: Bacteria
Description: bacterial SSU rRNA
Rfam family: Bacterial small subunit ribosomal RNA
Source: RNAcentral
GGGAACAUACCCUUUUCUACGGAAUAGCUCUGGGAAACUGGAAUUAAUACCGUAUACGCCCUACGGGGGAAAGAUUUAUCGGGGAAGGAUUGGCCCGCGUUGGAUUAGCUAGUUGGUGGGGUAAAGGCCUACCAAGGCGACGAUCCAUAGCUGGUCUGAGAGGAUGAUCAGCCACAUUGGGACUGAGACACGGCCCAAACUCCUACGGGAGGCAGCAGUGGGGAAUAUUGGACAAUGGGCGCAAGCCUGAUCCAGCCAUGCCGCGUGAGUGAUGAAGGCCUUAGGGUUGUAAAGCUCUUUCACCGAUGAAGAUAAUGACGGUAGUCGGAGAAGAAGCCCCGGCUAACUUCGUGCCAGCAGCCGCGGUAAUACGAAGGGGGCUAGCGUUGUUCGGAAUUACUGGGCGUAAAGCGCACGUAGGCGGAUAUUUAAGUCAGGGGUGAAAUCCCAGAGCUCAACUCUGGAACUGCCUUUGAUACUGGGUAUCUUGAGUGUGGAAGAGGUAAGUGGAAUUGCGAGU